UAUUCUGCCCUACAGGGAAGGAUGAGAAGCUUCGACUAAGGUUCGACUCGAGCGAAGCGAGAGAACGUUGCCGCAGGCAACGGCC
This 85-nucleotide small RNA is filed under the name Klebsiella pneumoniae. Its description in RNAcentral is "partial RtT sRNA". It matches the Rfam family "RtT RNA", at positions 1 to 84 of the family's 130-position model. From Rfam's summary of the family: This family represents a bacterial cis-regulatory element known as RtT RNA. The exact function of RtT is unknown although it is thought that it may be involved in changing the cellular response in relation to amino acid starvation. RNAcentral also lists the same sequence under 1 other name. The record is from RNAcentral. Lineage: Bacteria; Pseudomonadati; Pseudomonadota; Gammaproteobacteria; Enterobacterales; Enterobacteriaceae.